AUGACCAUGACCAUGACCAUAACCAUAACCAUGAUCGUAAACAUGACCAUGACCAUAACCAUGACCAUGACCAUGACCAUAACCAUGACCAUAACCAUGACCAUGACCAUAAACAUGACCAUGACCAUGAGCAUCUGCAUGACCGUAUCCAUCUCCAUCACCACCACCACCACCAUCCCUUCCUCAGACAAUUCUGUGCUCAGUUCCAUCCCUGCGGGCUCACUUCUGGAGCAGGAGCACGGCACGGGGCUGGAGUUUGUUGCGGGUAUUAACAGCGGUGGUGGUACCACAAGAUACGGGGCGGCGGUGUAUGGCCGUGCCACCAUCUCGAGGGACAACGGGCAGAGCACAGUGCGGCUGCAGCUGAACAGCCUCAGGGCUGACGACACCGCCACCUACAGCUGCGCUAAAGAUGCUG
Molecule: non-coding RNA, 418 nt
Organism: Numida meleagris (helmeted guineafowl)
Lineage: Eukaryota; Metazoa; Chordata; Aves; Galliformes; Numididae
Source: the annotation of a RefSeq genome assembly